This 213-nucleotide long non-coding RNA is filed under the name Elaeis guineensis (African oil palm). Its description in RNAcentral is "long non-coding RNA (EGUI_LNC064266)". The record is from RNAcentral. Lineage: Eukaryota; Viridiplantae; Streptophyta; Magnoliopsida; Arecales; Arecaceae.
GGAGUUAGAGAGCUGGAGAUGGUGUCUGGUAUAAAGAUCGGAUGAGGUUCAUCUACAGAACUAAGAUUUUGAGGGGCUGGAAGGGAUGAACUCCUAGAACUACUAGAGGAGAAAGUGCUGGAGGACAUUUUGAAUCGAGUGAAAACCCUAAAAAUCCUGAAAAAAUUAAGAAAAAUAAGGAAUGGGAUGUUCGUGGAAAAUCGAACAGGUGGA